Molecule: long non-coding RNA, 361 nt
Filed under: Fragaria vesca (wild strawberry)
Lineage: Eukaryota; Viridiplantae; Streptophyta; Magnoliopsida; Rosales; Rosaceae
Description: long non-coding RNA (FVES_LNC001803)
Source: RNAcentral
CGUUCUUCAUUUUUAUUUAGCCCAGAACUUGAAGACCGAAACUGAUCAAAUGGAGAAGGACUGGUUCAGCAAACAACAACUUGGAGAUGGUUGAUCUUCGCCGAGAAGGAAUUUCUCAACACUAGGAAGCUUGCUAUGUCACUUCUCUUUGUGCGAAAUUGGGUAAGGAAGCUUUAUCUGGGCAGGUUCAAUUCUGGCCGAGCCCACUCGAACAUAGCAUGGCUUUGAUUUCUUUCUUCUUUUCAGUUGUCAAGGUAUUUUGGUGAAGACUGAGUUCGCUGGCUCUUUGAUCCGCCUUCAGCAUUUUGGUGCGAAUUUCCUCAAUUCAUCUUGACAUUAAGUUUGUCUUCUUCCAUCAUCA